CUCAGCUUGACCUGCUGCAGUGCAGCCUUUGGGACUUCCCUCGCCUUCCACCUCCUGCUCAUCUGCUUCCCAAGCUGUCGCUAUGAGGAAACUGAGGCAGGAGACAGUGCAGUACCGGAGAACACAAGAUGGUGUCGGUGCGCAGGCCGUGGCCUGCCCCUGCUCGUCCGCCUGGGGGCGCCGAGGCUCCCGGCGAAGACGCCUCCCAGAAGCUGAGCCGCUACUACGCCUCCGUUGCGCCACUAGCUCAACCUGGUCACCCGGCCGCGGUGAGCGCUGGAACGGGGCGGGCGGAGCGGGAUCCCUGGGGCUCUACCCGGCGGCCCCGCACCGCCGGGGGCGUGGCCAGGUCUGAACACGCCCUUCCAGGCUCCGCCCCCAGGUAGGUGAAACGAGACAGCCCGGACGCGCGCCUCUGCAAAACGUUCUACCGCCCCACGGCGAGGACCACCCCGGCAGGUCUAGGUGAAAGCGUCCCCGUCACCACACAUCCUGCCUCCGAGAGCGCGGCCUCGCCACACCCCACCCUAGUCCGUCACUUACGACGUCUCCCAGGCUUGCCUCCCCAGAUCCGAUUCCUUUUCCUUCGCUCCUGGCGCCGACCCGUGGCGAGGACCCCCGAGGCCUCCUGGGAGAUCUUCCAACCACGCCCGUCUCAUUUGCAUACGCACUCCCGACCCCAGAAACCCGGAUUCCGCCUCCUGGCGGCGGCGUCUGAGGAGGGUGCGGGUGCGGGCUUUCAGCGUCUCGGCGCUCCAAACCCUGGGCUGCAGGGCUGUGUGUGGUCCUUCCCUGGUCCCAAAGUAAAGAGCGAAACCACAGAAA
Long non-coding RNA from Saimiri boliviensis boliviensis (Bolivian squirrel monkey), 825 nucleotides. RefSeq lists it as uncharacterized. NCBI's taxonomy places the organism in Eukaryota, Metazoa, Chordata, Mammalia, Primates, Cebidae. The record is from RefSeq and is a predicted model, not a curated record.